Molecule: long non-coding RNA, 866 nt
Filed under: Nicotiana tabacum (common tobacco)
Lineage: Eukaryota; Viridiplantae; Streptophyta; Magnoliopsida; Solanales; Solanaceae
Description: long non-coding RNA (NTAB_LNC019515)
Source: RNAcentral
GGAAAAGACCCUUCUUCUUCAGAGCUAGAGCAAAAACGACGCUACACCCCCUGCUUCUUCUUCUCAUUUUCACUCAACAAUGGAGACCCCUUAAAGUGUGGACCUCUCACUACUUCUUCCUUAUUUUUUUCUUUUUUCUUUUACCCAAAAACAGAGAAAGGGAAACUCUCCUUCUUCUUCUUCUUAUUCUUCUUUUUCUUCUUCUUCUUCAAAGUCACGACAUCCAUUUUAUUUUGAAAAAAAAAUCAGAAAAAUCCUCUAAUCUCCAUUGUCACUCUCUUGGGCAAAAGAGAACUCAUCAAUGACCCUCCCCUCCCCGAAAACACCUUCAGCCAUUUCCAAAUAGCCCCGAACGCCCCUCAACAGUCAUUAACCACCCCUCCUUUGGUCUUUUCUUCAUCUCAUUUCAAUCUCACCACCCACACUCAAUCCCACGCACAUACGUCUGAAAUGGUUAAGAGAAGCAGCUUGAGGCUCGGACAUCUGUGGUUCUAAAAAAAAUCAAAACAAAAAAAGAGUAAAAUUUCAAAUCUGGGUUUGUGUAAGCCGUGGAAGUUCGAAUUUGUGAUUAUAUUGAUGACUUUGGUUGUGUCAAAGCUGUUGAGCUCUAGUUUGCAGUGGCCAGACCUUCAUUUGUCAAUCUCAGUUAUUCUUAUUGCCUAGGUACACAUGUAUAUCCCUAUUUCUUCGAGUUAAAAUCUAGUGAAAUCUGAAUCUUUUUUUGUCUAAUUUUAUAAGUGUAGCAUGCUUAAUGACUGAAUUUGCUUGAGAACUUCUUCUCCAUCAAUUUCUGAUGAUAGUAAUGUGGUUAAUUGAACAAGUAAGUAUGUUAGGCCCUGGUGAUUGAUGUAGUAUUUCAGUCGGUU